GGAAGGAUGGCAGAGCGGACGAAUGCACCGGUCUUGAAAACCGGAGUCGUCUUUAUGGCGACCGCAGGUUCGAAUCCUGCUCCUUCCGACA
This 91-nucleotide transfer RNA is filed under the name Deltaproteobacteria bacterium. Its description in RNAcentral is "tRNA-Ser". It matches the Rfam family "tRNA". From Rfam's summary of the family: Transfer RNA (tRNA) molecules are approximately 80 nucleotides in length. Their secondary structure includes four short double-helical elements and three loops (D, anti-codon, and T loops). Lineage: Bacteria; Pseudomonadati; Myxococcota; Myxococcia. The record is from RNAcentral.